This 376-nucleotide ribosomal RNA is filed under the name Metaphire sieboldi (earthworm). Its description in RNAcentral is "partial 16S ribosomal RNA". The record is from RNAcentral. Lineage: Eukaryota; Metazoa; Annelida; Clitellata; Crassiclitellata; Megascolecidae.
UAUAAAGAAUUUGGAGCUUCUGUGGAGUUACUCUCUUUUUUGCCUUCUGAUUUCUUUCCAUCUAUUCGAGAUCUCCUCGACACCGCAUCAGCCUUGUAUCGGGAGGCCUUAGAGUCUCCAGAACAUUGUUCACCUCACCAUACAGCCCUCAGGCAAGCUGUUCUGUGUUGGGGUGAGUUAAUGAAUCUGGCUACCUGGGUGGGAAGUAAUUUAGAAGACCCAGCAUCCAGGGAAUUAGUAGUCAGUUAUGUCAAUGUUAAUAUGGGCCUAAAAAUUAGACAACUAUUGUGGUUUCACAUCUCCUGUCUUACAUUUGGAAGAGAAACUGUUCUUGAAUAUUUGGUGUCUUUUGGAGUGUGGAUUCGCACUCCUCCCG